Molecule: ribosomal RNA, 47 nt
Filed under: fungal sp. M-B
Lineage: Eukaryota; Fungi
Description: partial 28S ribosomal RNA
Source: RNAcentral
UUGACCUCGGAUCAGGUAGGAAUACCCGCUGAACUUAAGCAGUAAGA